GGGGAUUUAGCUCAGUGGUAGAGCACUUGCCUAGCAAGCACAAGGCCCUGGGUUCGGUUCCCAGCUCCG
Molecule: non-coding RNA, 69 nt
Organism: Rattus norvegicus (Norway rat)
Lineage: Eukaryota; Metazoa; Chordata; Mammalia; Rodentia; Muridae
Source: Rfam